RNAcentral lists this small nuclear RNA (182 nucleotides) under Carlito syrichta (Philippine tarsier). Its description in RNAcentral is "U2 spliceosomal RNA (ENSTSYG00000022855.2)". It matches the Rfam family "U2 spliceosomal RNA". Rfam says of the family: U2 is a small nuclear RNA (snRNA) component of the spliceosome (involved in pre-mRNA splicing). Lineage: Eukaryota; Metazoa; Chordata; Mammalia; Primates; Tarsiidae. The record is from Rfam by way of RNAcentral.
AUCACUUCUCAGCCUUGUGGCUACAAUCAAGUGUAAUAUCUCUUCUUAUCAGUUGAAUAUCUGUUACGUCCUCUAUCCGAGGACCAUCUAUUAAAUGGGGUGAUGGAGCAGGGAAUUGGAAGAGGAGCUUGCUCUGUCCACUCCACACAACGACCUGGUAUUGCAGGAACAGUGCCCCAUCU